RNAcentral lists this ribosomal RNA (119 nucleotides) under Pteropus alecto (black flying fox). Lineage: Eukaryota; Metazoa; Chordata; Mammalia; Chiroptera; Pteropodidae. The record is from RNAcentral.
CUCUACGGCCAUGCCACCCUGAACAAGCCCGAUCCCAUCUGAUCUCAGAAGCUAAGCAGGGUUGGGACUGAUUAGUACUUGGAUGGGAGACUACCUAGGAAGACCAGGUGCUGUAGGAG